CAGACAAGGGAGAAACUCUGUAAGUUCAGUCAUAUAGACACGGUCAAGGCGACCUGCUGGAGAUGAAACAGGCCAUAAGAAUGGGGAAGAAAAAUGAAUGAAGACACUUUGAAUGUGGCAUGUUGGUAUUUCAGAAACUGCUGGUCUACUGGGGUUUUCACACACAACCAUUUCGAAGGUUUAAAGAGAAAGAUCCAAAAAAUAUCCAGUGAGCAGAAGUUCUCUGGGUGAAAAUGCCUUUUUGAUGCCAGAUGUCAGAAGAAAGUGGCCAGACUACUUUGAAUUGAUAUGAAGACCACACUGAGUGCCACUCCUGUCAGCGAAGAAUAGGACACUCCAAAAUCUGCAUGGGCUCUCCAAAACUGGACAGGAGUGAACUGGACAAAUGUGUACCCAUCUUCUGAUGGCUGCCUCCUGCAGGAUAAAACAUCAUGUCACAAAGCUUAAAUGAUCUCAUUCUUGAACAUGACAGUGAGUUCAGCGUACUCAAAUAGCCUCCAAAGUCACCAGAUCUCAAUGCAUAUUGAGGUAGAACAGGAAAAAGGGCUUCCAACCAAGCUGGGAGGAUUUAAAAAAAAACUGUUGAGUGUCUCACUUCACGGCUCUUCCUGUUUGAGUUUCCUCACUCUGCUCCGCACAGAGCAGACGUCCCUGCAGGAUAAUACUCGGAUGAGCAUUAUCUGCAGAAAGCAGCCUCAACUUAAUCCAAACUGCACCGAGGGCAGGAAACUAUUGACGACCUCCGUGUAGAAGGACGGGUCGUCCUUCCCUCGACCUCCGUGCUCGUCCAUUUCCUUCCAACUCUUUUAAGAUUUCUUGUCCUUUUCACUGACUCAUGAUGUUUCCUUAUGCAGAUCCCUUUUAGCCAAGCAGAUUUUAAGUAAGGAAGUAUUGGUUGUACUUAUCCUGUUAGGGCCACCUUUGGUACUAUGUUGUAGCUUUUUGCUGCAAAAAAUUCCUAAUAUACAUUACAGGUUUCAGAGCAGGUAAGAAUAGAUUUGCUUUACAGUUUAGUGGAGUCUAGGAGCAUUUCAUAAAUAAACUGGGAGUCCAUCCAACAUGUUUCACGUGUCUCACUCCUGUCACAGCUGGAAGAGGCUCCAGUCCGUUCUGCAACCAUGAACUUUACAGGCAGCAGAAAAUAAAUAAAUACCUUUAUAUUAUUUUUGCAACAAUAUUUUGCAAAAGUUGACUAUUUUCACAUAUAAAUAAAUGUUUUUAGUGUCUUCAAA
Oreochromis aureus is the source of this 1232-nucleotide long non-coding RNA. RefSeq lists it as uncharacterized. The record is from RefSeq and is a predicted model, not a curated record. NCBI's taxonomy places the organism in Eukaryota, Metazoa, Chordata, Actinopteri, Cichliformes, Cichlidae. The transcript has 4 exons.